UACGUAGGGUGCAAGCGUUAAUCGGAAUUACUGGGCGUAAAGCGUGCGCAGGCGGUUUUGUAAGUCUGUCGUGAAAGCCCCGGGCUCAACCUGGGAAUUGCGAUGGAGACUGCAAGGCUUGAAUCUGGCAGAGGGGGGGUAGAAUUCCACGUGUAGCAGUGAAAUGCGUAGAGAUGUGGAGGAACACCGAUGGCGAAGGCAGCCCCCCUGGGUCAAGACUGACGCUCAUGCACGAAAGCGUGGGGAGCAAACAGG
This 255-nucleotide ribosomal RNA is filed under the name uncultured bacterium. Its description in RNAcentral is "partial 16S ribosomal RNA". It matches the Rfam family "Bacterial small subunit ribosomal RNA", at positions 524 to 776 of the family's 1533-position model. The record is from RNAcentral.